This 61-nucleotide transfer RNA is filed under the name Seison sp. MS-2015. RNAcentral's name for it is "tRNA-Leu". Lineage: Eukaryota; Metazoa; Rotifera; Pararotatoria; Seisonacea; Seisonidae. The record is from RNAcentral.
AGAGUUUUGUCAGAUUUAAUGUGUUAAAUUUAGGUUUUAAUUAUGCUUUUAGCAUUCUCUA